AAAGCGGCAACAAAAAAAAACACUUAGACAAAAAAUGACCCUAGGAGAGAGAGGCAACCAACGCAUAUACCCCAUUUGCAAAACUCAUUAGCCCGGCCGCUGCUAUGUCGACUCUCUCUGCUAGAAACCCUUUCUCGACAAACCCAACCGGACCAUCACUCUUUGACCAAACUUGACGAUCGCUUCCCUUCCCAUCCCAUCACUUUUAGUUUUCUUCCAUUCCCAUCUCUUCCCAAUUCAAUCCCAAAACAAACUCGGGCGUCACGUUACGAGGGUCAUGAAGAAGAGUGGGCUGGCGGUGGAGGCGGCUAAGUUAUGCGAAGGGGGUGGUGAGAGAGCGAGUUGGGGUAUCAAAGAGUGACGGCGGGAGAGGAGGAUGAGAUUGGGGUUGGGUUAGGGUUUAGGUGCAGAGGCGUCGGCGGAGAGAGAGACGGAGCUUGGGGAUGGGAUUGGGAGUGGGAUCGAGCUUGAGGAAGGGACAUGGAGCGAAGAAGCAUUUGAAUUUAGGGUUUUGUUUGGAAUACUUUUGCUUGUGCAUGUACCAAAUUUGUUUACUUAUCCUGGUUAUACUCCAAUCCAUACGGAAUCAAUUGAUGAUGCCUACCAAACACUUCCUGGUGGAGAGCAAAUCUGUCCUAAGAGGAAUGCCAACUUAUUUUCCAGAAUAUUAUUUUCAUGGGUGAGUCCCUUUAUGAAGCUUGGCUAUCAAAGACCUCUUACGAAGAAGGAUAUAUGGAAAUUGGAUACCUGGGAUCAGGCUGAAACGCUGAGCAAUAAGUUCCAAAAAUGUUGGGCUGAUGAAAACCGAAAGCCUAAACCAUGGCUCUUGAUAGCCUUAAACUGUAGCCUUGGAGGAAGGUUCUGCUGGGGAGGCUUUUGGAAGGUGAUUAUCUUCUUCUUCUUUUCUUCCUUUCUGCUUUUCACACAUCUCAUUCAGAUGUCACUAUUGUUCUUUUUCCUUUUUUCUUUUCAUGUAAGUAUAAUAGAUAGCACAAUCUCGACACGCAUAAUACAUGAAUUGUUAGUCCAACGGGCUCAUUACAGCAUACAUGGUUCUCCUCUUUACUAGUCAUUGUGGAAAUUUGCACUCUGACCUUAAAGUAAUCAAAAGUCAAGACAAAACCUCUCUUUUGCUUGUUUCUAAUUAUUGUAAGCAGCAUAUGCUCUAUAGUAUUUCUCCUCUUUACUACUUUGUAUGUGAGGAGCAUUCAGGAAGCCAUUUUCAACCUUCCCUUCUCAAAGCUGCUAGUUGUGCACAAUUGUGCAAUGCAGUUUAUUGCCUAUUGAUUAGUUUUUUUUUUUCCUGAAACUUGCAGGUUGAUGCUACAAAUCGUGGAGGAAUUGCUAGAUUCAUAAACCAUUCUUGUGAGAGAGAAAGCCAAGAGCUGUAGGUUGUUGUGAGGGUUUUUUUUUUUUUUUUUUAAUGAUAGUAUUGCAUAUUCUGGGAAUGUUAUCGUUCUUCACAGAUUGACCUAGUCGAAUCCAGUCUUCACCACUACCGCGUCUACUCCAUUUCCGACGACAUCAGGUACUCUUUCUCUCUCACUCUCUGAUUUUGAAUCUAGGCCGCUCAAUCAAACCGAUUCGUUGCUAAUAUGAUUAAGUAAAAUUGGGGAUCAAAUUGAAGCCAUAGAGCAGGAGGUACAGGCUGUAGAUUCAGUUCUUUGUCUUGUUGUUUUCUUUUUUUUCACCAUUGUCUUUUGAAAGUUGAAUAAAAGAUAUGCCAGUAGCAGCGAAUUUAAAUUUGCUUAGUAAAUUUCAUUUAGAUUACAUUUGUUAGAUGAAUAUAAUUAGAGUCCAGGGAUUCUGUUCUGUUGAUUAUCAUAUUUGAUUCUUGGAACUUGUAGAAGAGCAGAGGUUAAUGUUGGAGAACACAAUUAAGCAUUGUGGGAAUAAGAUUGCGUAUAUAUGACAUGAAAUAGAGAAAUUUGAGAUGAACCAUGUAUAGUACAUUAUUACCUGCAUAAACACAAUUAGAGAAAUCAGAUUCUUGAAGCUUUCAUAACUAGCAAUCUAGUUUGAUUGCUUUUAAUUUAUGUUUCCAGUUUAUAUAGUUCAAUAUAGAGCUUCUUAUACUGAUGGAAUAAUUGAUAUACCUGCAUCUUAUUCUUUCACUUUCCUUGGAUCCUUGCUCAUUUUGUGAGCUUAGGGCCAGUGUACGGUUUUAAGUGGAGGAUCAAUUAUAUAAUUCGAAAAAGAUCUUGUUUUCAUGUCAAGCUGUUUAUAGAAUUCUUUCAUGUUACUAAGCAGAAUAAGAUUUGAUACAUUUUUGAGUUCUAAUAGUUCCCUCUGAUUUCCUUGUAGCUUUUCUAAUGCCAAUUUGAACAAAGCCAUUGUUUUAGUCUGCUAAUAUUUCUAUUCCUUCACAUUGUUUGAGAGAAGGGGGAACUUUUCCUCUAAUUUCAUCAGCGUACAGAGACUGAUAUAGAGUUUUAGCUCUAAAUGGCUCAAGAUACAAAUGACGCUAAGUUGCCUAGGCCACUAACUUUAUGCCUAUUUUGCUGUCUUUACAAUGGAUAACUAUAAUGAUGCUACUCGUAUCAUUGACGGCAACUUCGAUGGUAAGCAAUCUCACUCUCACUUGGAUCAACUAUUAAUUUCUCCAGUUCUCAAUAUCUUACUUUUUAUUUUAUUAAAUUUUUCUCCCUAUGUUCUGAAUCGAUCUUCAGUACCGCUAACUGUUUAUAUUUUUCUUAAAACUGAAAGUGUAAUUCUAUUGUCUU
Molecule: long non-coding RNA, 2723 nt
Organism: Rosa chinensis
Lineage: Eukaryota; Viridiplantae; Streptophyta; Magnoliopsida; Rosales; Rosaceae
Exons: 6
Source: RefSeq, a predicted model, not a curated record